CCCCUGAAUUUAAGCAUA
Molecule: ribosomal RNA, 18 nt
Filed under: Dermanyssus gallinae
Lineage: Eukaryota; Metazoa; Arthropoda; Arachnida; Mesostigmata; Dermanyssidae
Description: partial 28S ribosomal RNA
Source: RNAcentral